Long non-coding RNA from Pan paniscus (pygmy chimpanzee), 1081 nucleotides. The record is from Ensembl. Lineage: Eukaryota; Metazoa; Chordata; Mammalia; Primates; Hominidae.
CUUUGGGGUUUUUUAGUACUAUCUGGUUUUGUUAUCAAAGUAAUUCUAUAAUCACAAAAUUAACUGGCAUAGUAUCCUUUCUGCCUUAUUCUUUUGGUCAAGUCAUCAGAGCCAGGAUCAAGGGGAGAGCACAUAGAGUGCAAAGAACUUUGGGGCCACAUUUAAAGCCACCAUAAAAUUCAGUUAGGCAUUCUGAAUUAUGACUCAAAAGGCAUUAUUUCAGGAACAAUUUAAUGGGGAAUAAUACUGUGCUUUCAGAACAUCACAGGCUAAACUUUUGGGUGGGGGCAGAAAGAAGGGAACCAUCUGCCUUUGUGGCUUGUCUGCAUUGUUUCUAUGGGAAAUGUGUUCUGAAUUCCUAAAACAAUGUGCAAACAAGCUUUUUUAACUCAACCCUUUGUUUGCUGUAUGAUGUUUCUUAAUUCUGAAAUGUAAAAAGCCAGUGGGGGUAAGUUGUACAAGGUGACUGGCAGGACCUGCUGGAGCUGAAAAGGAAUUGGAACUUCUUCUUCAUGGACUUCCAUCAUAGAAGCUAACACCACAGGCAAGUUCCCUUCCCCACUGAGGGUGGGCUCACCCAUGCUGGGGACUCCCUGCUCAUCUGACCAUUGAUAGUUUGCCUCCUCUCAUUGACUUCCAAUUGUCUCUUAAUAUGUUAAAUAUUUCCUUUGUUUCCUCUUGUUCCCCCAGAGGCUCAGUCGACUUUGUUCCUCUGCCUACCACCACCUCUGGGUUCUGGAACAGAAUAUCGGACCAAAUUCUGUCAUAGAUGGCAGUACAUGUGACAAUGCCAUCCUCAUGUCAGCAUGCCAGAUGCAGGCAUUGUCCUUAUCAGGAAGAACUGACCGGACCACACAGCAGCAACAGCAUCCCUCACAGUUGGCAUGCAGCUCUGAGGUUCUCAAACUCAGAACGACUGAAAAGAGGUGCCUCCUCGGUUGCAAGAAUUGAAGAAAGCUCUACUUCCCAGAUGCAAGACCAUGCUGCAAGGCUUAUCCAGUACUCCAGUUUCAGACAUGAGAGCGAAUCUACCCAGGACUAGAAGCCAUCAUCCUGAGGUCACAUCUCUGCCUCCUCACCC